This 503-nucleotide ribosomal RNA is filed under the name uncultured bacterium. Its description in RNAcentral is "partial 16S ribosomal RNA". It matches the Rfam family "Bacterial small subunit ribosomal RNA", at positions 29 to 523 of the family's 1533-position model. The record is from RNAcentral.
AACGAACGCUGGCGGCACGUUUUAAGCAUGCAAGUCGAAUGGCAGUGGGGGCAACCCCAUGAGAAUGGCGAACGGGUGAGUAACACGUAGGUGAUCUGCCUGACGGAUGGGGAUAGCUUGUGGAAACACAGGGUAAUACCGAAUGAGCUGACGAGACUUUGGUUUUGUUAGUAAAGGUGCUACGGCACCGCCGACAGAGGAGCCUGCGGCUGAUUAGCUAGUUGGUUGGGUAAAGCCCUACCAAGGCGACGAUCAGUAGCCGGCCUGAGAGGGUGUACGGCCAGACUGGAACUGAGACACGGGCCAGACUGCUACGGGAGUCAGCAGCUAAGAAUCUUCCGCAAUGGGCGAAAGCCUGACGGAGCGAUGCCGCGUGAUCGAUGAAGGUCGAGGGAUUGUAAAGAUCUUUUCUACAUGAGGCAUAAGUCUGGGAGGGAAUGUCUGGAUGAUGACGUUAGUGUAGGAAUAAGCCCCGGCUAAUUACGUGCCAGCCGCCGCCGUAA